GCCUACGGGGCGCAGCAGUAGGGAAUUUUCGUCAAUGGGCGCAAGCCUGAACGAGCAAUGCCGCGUGAACGAGGAAGGUCUUCGGAUCGUAAAGUUCUGUUGAAGGGGAAAAAAGAGCGGAGAGAGGAAAUGGUCUCCGAUUGAUAUUACCCUUCGAGGAAGUCACGGCUAACUACGUGCCAGCAGCCGCGGUAGUACGUAGGUGGCGAGCGUUAUCCGGAAUGAUUGGGCGUAAAGGGUGCGUAGGCGGCCUGCUAAGUCUGGAGUGAAAGGUACCAGCUCAACCGGUACAGGCUCUGGAAACC
RNAcentral lists this ribosomal RNA (305 nucleotides) under uncultured bacterium. RNAcentral's name for it is "bacterial SSU rRNA". It matches the Rfam family "Bacterial small subunit ribosomal RNA", at positions 337 to 634 of the family's 1533-position model. The record is from RNAcentral.